This 30-nucleotide non-coding RNA is filed under the name Mus musculus (house mouse). The record is from RNAcentral. Lineage: Eukaryota; Metazoa; Chordata; Mammalia; Rodentia; Muridae.
UUGGCUAUUCAUCUAAAUGUGGGACCCCAC